Molecule: ribosomal RNA, 253 nt
Filed under: uncultured bacterium
Lineage: Bacteria
Description: partial 16S ribosomal RNA
Rfam family: Bacterial small subunit ribosomal RNA
Source: RNAcentral
UACGUAGGGGGCUAGCGUUGUCCGGAUUUAUUGGGCGUAAAGAGCGUGUAGGCGGCCAGGUAGGUCCGUUGUGAAAACUCGAGGCUCAACCUCGAGACGUCGGCGGAAACCCUCUGGCUAGAGUCCGGAAGAGGAGAGUGGAAUUCCUGGUGUAGCGGUGAAAUGCGCAGAUAUCAGGAAGAACACCAAUGGCGAAGGCAGCUCUCUGGGACGGUACUGACGCUGAGACGCGAAAGCGUGGGGAGCGAACAGG